RNAcentral lists this transfer RNA (72 nucleotides) under Acheilognathus tabira nakamurae. RNAcentral describes it as "tRNA-Ile". Lineage: Eukaryota; Metazoa; Chordata; Actinopteri; Cypriniformes; Acheilognathidae. The record is from RNAcentral.
GGAACUGUGCCCGAAUGAUCAGGGACCACUUUGAUAGAGUGGCACAUGGGGGCUAAAAUCCACCCAGUUCCU